Molecule: RNA transcript, 2565 nt
Organism: Gymnogyps californianus (California condor)
Lineage: Eukaryota; Metazoa; Chordata; Aves; Accipitriformes; Cathartidae
Gene: FDX1
Gene name: ferredoxin 1
Exons: 5
Source: RefSeq, a predicted model, not a curated record
AUGGCUGCCCCGGGGCCGGCCCGGCUCCUCCGGGCCGCCGCCGCCGCUUCCUCCCGCCGCUGGCUCUUCUCCGCCUCGCCGGCAGCCGGGACGAGGCCGGGCUGUGGCAGCGCUGCCGUGAGGGCAGCCCGGCUGUUCAGCCUCUCUGCCCGGGCGGUGCUCAGCUCAGAAGAUAAAAUAACUGUUCAUUUCAUAAAUCGUGAUGGUGACAAACUAACAGCCAAAGGAAAACCUGGGGAUUCACUACUGGAUGUUGUUGUUGAUAAUAAUCUAGACAUAGAUGGUUUUGGUGCAUGUGAAGGAACGCUAGCCUGUUCAACUUGUCAUUUAAUCUUUGAAGACCACAUAUUUGAGAAACUAGAUGCAAUUACUGAUGAAGAGAUGGACAUGCUGGACCUGGCAUAUGGCCUCACAGAAACAUCACGUUUAGGCUGCCAAAUCUGCUUGAAGAAAUCGAUGGAUGAUAUGACUGUUCGAGUACCAGAAGCUGUUGCCGAUGCUAGACAAUCAGUAGAUAUGAGUAAAAACUCCUAAAAGAAAAUAUCUUAGGGGUUUUAAAGAAGCUUAACUAUUUUUAUAACUUAUUUUUAAAUGUGUAAUUAAAUAUGGAAACUUACAUAAUUGUGAGUUAUUUUAUAUGACUAUCAGUAUUAGAUUAAUGCUAUUUUAAUUUUCUUUAUAGAACCUCCUAUAUUUUUAAGCUUAAAAUGCAAUAAUACUUCUUACAAGUGAUCAUUGGAUUAUAAACGUUAGCAAGUGUAUUACAGAUUUCAUAUAACAAUAUUCUGCCAAAACCUUUAAUGACGUUUGAAAACUGGAUCACUUCUACAAGACUUCUCCUAAAAACCCCUGGGCAUUUCUAGGUUUCAGACCUGGAUAUGUAAGAGAACAAAACUUGUAAGACUGCAUGGGGUCUUUUUAAAGCGUUGUCAUUAAAGACAGUAUGCUCAGAGCUAAUUCACGUUCUCAGUAAAUAUGAUACUUCCUCAGCAAAUAGUGGAUUUUCAGGGCAGGGUUUUUCCAAACUUUGGAAUCUUAAUGAGAUGUGGCAAAUUUUGUCUUGUAAAAAUACUGUUAAAACAAUGAAAUGUAGGGGCUGAUACAGAAUGUUGGCACCUGCAGCUUAAUUGCUGCAGUGCAUCUCUGUUGCCCAAAUCAGAAGUCAAUAAACCUCAACUGUAUUUACGUUUGACUACACCACAAAUAUGGGGAUACACAUGGCUUAGAGUAAAGCCUUGGAGCUGUCUAAUGGGAGAGCAUAACCACUGGAGGUAACUGUAGAUUCUUGAUGUUCUCUGAAGAUGGCCGAGUUGGGAUUGAAGAGGGCAAUGUUUGUCAACAUAAGAUUUGUUCUGAAAUCUUUAUCCCUUUUUCUGUUUUGAGCUUGUUCAGGAGACAGUCUGAUGUUAGCUAGGGCAUUCAGCUUAAAGAGAUUCCUAGAUUAUGGGCCUUACUCUCGGGAUCAUUUCAAUAAUGGUUGAUGUGAAAUGACCAAGCAUAUUUAUUCCAUAAGGUGGACUAGGUUCCCUGGAAGGGGUAGGGAGACCCCCAUGGUGGGAUAGCAUGUGGACUGAUGAUGAAGAGCUUUCAGUUGGAUCUUGUUCUAGUCUUUCUAAAGUAGACCAAAAUAAAAUAAUGUCUCUAAGACUCUAUUACUCUCUCCAGUUUUUGUUGCCUAAAUAAUUAAAGGAAAUGGUUGUCACCAAUACAAUAGUUGUUAUCCUUAUAAGGUUAUUUUAAUAUUUUGGGCAUAUUUAUAUAUAUGUAACAUGUUUAUUUACAUUUGAAUGAUCUAAUGCAUUCAUUAAUGCCUUAUUUGAACUGGUGACAAUGACAUCUAGACAUCUUUUCUUGCAUUAUUAUAUUUAUGGGAGAGGGGAAAAAAUAUUAUUUUUCCAGUGUUGAAUAUUGGGAUGAUUUUGAGCUUCAUAAAGAGAAAAAAAAAGUUUCUCUUUGUUACAAAAGGAAAUAUUUUCUGUAACUGUAUUGAAAAUAGAUCUAGUUCAGAUUCUUUGAUUUCCUCUGAGUAGCUAUUACUUUGUUUCCUGGUGUUCCCUUUGGAGUUUCCCCUAAACCAAGAUAUGCUUAAUGUGGUCUGCUCAGAACUUAAUCAUACAGGGUUUUCAGAAUACACUUCCUAUCUCAUCUAAUUCAAAAUAUGACUUCAGAGUUGAAAUUUCCUGGCUUUUUGAAAGACAGAGCGAGGCUGGGGAGAAGGGUGGAAAUAAAUUGAAGAAAUGUUCUGAAGAUACUGCUGUCUUCCUCUUCAAUUGCUGUGACUCUAACCAUAAUUUAGGGGUUGCCCUCCCGCAAUCAGGCACUAAGCUUCUCAUUACAAAGACUUUGACUCUCCUGUAGUGUGCCUGUGGAAGGAAUUAUUUAGCACAGCAAGGCAAAAAAGGAUACUUCAAAGUUCAUUCUGAAUUCUAGAGGUAUCCAUAUUGCAUGCAAAUGGAAAUCUCAGAAGGUGAAGGAACUGACAUGUAAUCCCCAAAAUGCACAGCUCAGAGGUACUUGUUUCCUUACUGUCAAAAUGAUUUGCAAAUAAAUCUUAUUUUAUACCAC